GCCGGGGCGGCGCGUGAGACCCACCUGCUCCAGAGCCUCCGCCCGCAGCUGUCGGUGCCUCUGGCCUGCGCCCACCCCGCCCGCUCCUCGGGGCGCUUUGGAGGAGGCGGCAUCGGCGCUCGCCCAGGGGAAUGAGGCUCCAAAAUGAAUCACAACUGGCGGGUCUGACUUCGGGCCUUUGCAGAUGCUGUUCCCCUGCCUGGAGCGCACUUAUCACAAG
RNAcentral lists this long non-coding RNA (220 nucleotides) under Homo sapiens (human). RNAcentral's name for it is "HSALNT0393847". Lineage: Eukaryota; Metazoa; Chordata; Mammalia; Primates; Hominidae. The record is from RNAcentral.